UCGUCACACCUAGCGAGACCGUUAGAUCAGUGAGUUGAGAGAGCGGUCUCUGGGGUCGCUGGUUCAGAUCUAUAGGUUUAGAUUUGGAAGACUGGAAAGGCUUUAGGUGCGAAGUCUCGAGGCCCACGGGGAGCUGAUAAGGGAGAGCUCCCCGAAGAAGGCAGUUUGUGGGUUUGUCUGAGAGAUACAUUAUGACGCUUCGACUUUAUGUGCCAACGUAUGUGAUGUCUGGUCAUUUUAAGCAUUUUAAGCAUAAAGUAUGACAGUGCCAAAAUAUACGUCGCUUUGUAUGUAUUAGUAAGGGGUUCCGGUCGCCUGUGUGAUUGUGACUGAGGAACUGUGCCUCCAGGGUACUUCUGAAGUUUGGUCAGUUCUAGCCCUGGACUGCAGUGAACUCAGCCUUUCUCUUAUGUGAAAUCGGAUAGGCCGCCCCGUUUUUCUCUGAUUUACCUUUGUGGGGAAUUCCCCACAGAUUGAUCUGUAGGCCGGAUCAAGUGGCGCUCAGUGUGGGGCUCCUGGCACAGAGGAGUUAACGAGGGAGCCGUUCAAGACAGCCGGCUUAAACUGAAAGUGAAACCAAAUUGAACUAGAGACGUUGGCUGAGGAGUGAGCAAACUGAAUCAAGGAUUAAAGCUUAAAGCAACAGGACCUUCAAUCAAGUACCAAGGCCUGUGCAGACAACUACCCAACAUCCUGCCCCAGUCAUGGUGACACAACCCCCCCGGAGCCUUAUGCUGCCUACUCAGCCUUUUCCUUGAGCCAUACCACACCCAUGGUGGAUUUCGAUCCCUGCCAAACAGACUACAACUGCUGACAGCCAUGCACACAAUCUCGUGACUGUGGAAGAGGCUCUUCUCGGUCUAGAGAAACAUACACCAGCCAAAUAGACUGCAUCCAGUGUUAUGCGAGGCAUGCUCCAAGACAUAGGAGAAUGACUUCAACAGAGAUACCAACAAAUGGCUGCCAACCCCUUCUCCUCGAUAUGUGUGUGGUGGGGAAGCUUUUCCCUUACCUAGUACCCCUUUUGGGUCCCCUAGCUGCCCUAUUGCUUCUCCUUUCUGUGAGCCCUUGUAUUUUUCAGAGGAUUAUGAUGCUCAUUAAUAACUGGAUAGAUGCGUUUAUGGCAAAGCCCAUUCAGGUACACUAUCAUCAGCUGGAGAUGGCAGAUCAACAAACCUACCGGGAAGGAAUUCCCAUGGGUGGCCCAUAUGACGAUGCGGCCUAACUGCCCUGGGGCAAUGGACAGGCAGUCAGAGACAGGCAACUAGGACAUGCAUGUUAAUUCCAACGGCCACCUAAGAUGGGCACAGAACCAAGUGCUGUUCUGCAAGCCCAUGAUGGGUAAGGCCUCGUUGGGUUCAUGCAAUGAGGUCCUUGACCUAAGAUAGACGCUGUCCGGCAGGGCCUGCCAUACUCUUUUGAUUAAAUAAUAUAGAAAGGGAGGCGAUGUAGGGAGCCAAACGACAGCCCAUUGCUGCCUCCCUGCCUCUCUCUCCUAUGGGCACUGCGUCUGCCUACAUUAACCAUAAUCCUCUCCUGCUUACAUCACAUACCCGGAUGUGAUGGUGACCCUGUUGUAUUCAUCCCCUUAGCCUCUUCCUGUACCACCUCCUGCCCUUGGCCUAUAAAAGGUGUGAUCACUUCCUGAAUAAACGGAGGCUUGAUCGGA
Long non-coding RNA from Cavia porcellus (domestic guinea pig), 1669 nucleotides. RefSeq lists it as uncharacterized. The record is from RefSeq and is a predicted model, not a curated record. Lineage: Eukaryota; Metazoa; Chordata; Mammalia; Rodentia; Caviidae. The transcript has 3 exons.